RNAcentral lists this long non-coding RNA (2829 nucleotides) under Sus scrofa (pig). RNAcentral's name for it is "lncRNA (ENSSSCG00030026391.1)". Lineage: Eukaryota; Metazoa; Chordata; Mammalia; Artiodactyla; Suidae. The record is from RNAcentral.
CCCCUUUCAACCUAGCGAUCAAGUUGGCCCCUGCUGCUCCUCGCGCCUCCCCACCCCGCAUAGGAAGAAAGACUUCCUUCCUUCAUCUCUCGACAUGGCCCAAGCCUAGGAAUCACCUUCCCUUUCUCUUCUCGGAUGCUGGAUGCUCAACUUUGCUAACUUUUUUUUUUUUCCUUUUAAACUCCUGAGAGUCAGAGCUCCUGUAUCCUUGCCCUCUCAACCUUCUGGUUUUCUCCGUCGGAUAAACUUUCUCUUCUACCUACUUCAUAGAGGACACCUGUGCAGCUCUGACCCCAUUGAUGAGUGCCUUGGGGUUGUACCUGAGUGUUGGGGCUUCUCUUUUGCUCCCAAGAUCGCCACCAAUGGCUGCAGAGAUUAUAUUCUGCGCUGAGAAUGCAAUAUAAAUGCAACCCUUUGUGUUAUGCGUGGAACAGCCUCAUUUGGUGGCUCUGUUUGUGCCGAUUCUCCACCUACAAUACCUUCCCCUGCACCUCUGCCUUUCACCUCCUUCCACGUGCAUCUCUGAUCUGAACUUCUCUCUUCAUCCUCACAUCCCCUCCUGACCACAGCCUGGAAGGUGUUCCCCUUUCUUCCGACCAUCUUUGGUGUAUUCUAUCUGUCAUGAUAAUCUGAAAAUUAAGCAAGGCCCACACAGGCCCUUUCUCGUUGAGUGUUUUUCUUUGGCUAUUAUUUUCGCCCUCUGUUCUUAUUCAGCUUUUGGCCAGCCUGAAUCUCCUUGCGUGGUUUUCAGCUCUAAGGAUAGGAACUGUGUCCUCCCCAUCUUUCUGUCUCCCUGUAGGGCUUGCACACAGCUGAAAUUCAAUAGGACAAAAGAAGUAAGUGCUGUCUAAAGGGAGAGACCUCUUAAACAGUGAGACAGGCCAGUCCAAACGGAGUGUCUGUGACAAAACUCUUCCGUCAAUCGGUUUUUCAGAUUCUUUCAGUUGUUGAUGCUCCAAUGGUUAUGCUAAUGACAACCAAGAAAAGCACAGAUGUUGGCCAGGUACCAAACUCCAGACGAAUUCUAGCCCAGCUCAUUCUUUUCGCCAAACUUUCUGCAAGAGCAUCUAACAAGAAGAGGCUCAGGCACCAUUGACUUCCCGUCCCAACUCUUCCUUGAGGGAGUCAAGCUUUUUCUUUCUCAGGUUCAAACCAAGAGUGGGAGAUCCAAAGUACGGCGAUCUGAGGGUCCAGGAGGAAGAUGGAGAAGGAAAGAGAACAAGCAAAAGGUCUGCAAAUCAAGGAAAUGUUACAGCUACAGAGCUUGGGUUUAGAGACUUAGAAGAGACCAGUUCGGGUCAUUUCCAAUUCAUUGCUGAGGUAAUGUUCUUGUAAAGAACAGUUGCUUUUGGAGUUCCCGUCGUGGCACAGUAGUUCAUGAAUCUGACUAGGAGCCAUGAGGUUUCGGGUUCGAUCCCUGGCCUCACUCCGUGGGUUAAGGAUCCGGCAUUGCCGUGAGCUGGGGUGUAGGUUGCAGACGUGGCUUGGAUCCUGCAUGGCUGUGGCUGUGGGGUAGGCCAGCAGCAGUAGCCCCGACUGGACCCCUAGCCUGGGAACUUCCAUGUGUUGAGAGGGCGGCCUUAAAAAAAAAAAAAAAAGCCACAGUCCUGUGGGGGGAGGUGACAUUAGGGUCUUCCCAACCUCCCCAGUGUCAGACCACAAAGCCUACUAAUUCUUAGUCUAUGUCAAUGAUUUGCAUUUUCUUUCCUAAAUGUCCUUGUGCGGUGCUACAAUCCGAGAGUCCAGGAUGCUGGGGUUUUUCUCUGAGUACCUCACUCCUCUAAGGUUCGGUUUCUGAUUGACUCAUGGGGCUCCAGUGUCCCGGAGCAGAUGGGGCAGCUUGGCCAACUCGGAGGGGAAAAGAUUGACUUCAGAUGAAAAACUUCUGUGUCUGUGACUAAGGACUGAGUCAGCUACCUGGUUUAGGAUGUACUAUUUGUCAGAAAGUCGAUCUGGAGGAAAUAUCACUCAUUCUGGCCAGAGUCAUGGUUUUCGGUGCAUUUUUUACUCAUGAAAUUCAAAAAGAACAGGGUGCCAGUUUAACCUUGGGGUUGAGGUUAUGAAUGAGAAAGGAAGUUGAAAUUACCCAGGGGGGCUGUCCCCUUAGUCAGAGUUUCAGAGCAUUCCAGACUCUUGUGUCAAUGAAAGCAUAUUGAGCUUCCAUCACAUAACAAAGAGUCAAGCACUGGUCUGUUUGGAGACCCUCCCUGUCCGCCGACAGUUUGGCUCCUUUGAGCUCUCCUUCACCAUCACUCCCUCCUGCUGCCUCUCUUUCCCUCUUUCUCUCCCCUUUCUCUCUUUCUUUCUUCUUUCUUCCUUCCUUUCUUUCCUCUCUCUUUCCUUCCUUCCUUGAAAAAAAGCAACGGUUCUUUUUUUUGGGGGGGGGGCCUUUUUGCCAUUUCCAGGGCCACUCCUGCAGCACAUGGAGGUUCCCAGGUUAGGGGUCGAAUCAGAGCUCCUCAAAGGUCAAGAUUCAGGCCCUAAAGUGUUGCUAGUCACAUCUUCAUGUGGAUACAUAACCUGAAAUAAGGUGCGGAGAGAAGGAGAGAGGGAGCAACAGGAACACUGUAGCGUAGGCGUACGUGUCACACCCCAAGUCAGAACCUUGGAGAGCUGGGUCCCUUUCGGAAAGUUGUCUUGCUUCUCUGAGGACCAUGACAGUUGAUCUAACUCGAUGAUCUCACCUACCUCUCCCCUUCCUUCCUCCCUUCCUUCCAGUCUCCUUCUUUCCUUUCUUUCUUUUCUCUAAGUGUUUGUUGAACCCCCUCUAUGACUUCGUUCUAUGGCAUUGCGAAUAGAACGGUAAAUAAAGGAGCUCCCAUUGGGGCA